AGGAGGGUUCCUUUAUAGGUAAGAAGGGCUAAACUGUAAAUUUAGUACAUGAAUUGUUUUUUGAGGGUUCGAAUCCCUCGUCUCCUA
Molecule: transfer RNA, 87 nt
Filed under: Metarhizium album ARSEF 1941
Lineage: Eukaryota; Fungi; Ascomycota; Sordariomycetes; Hypocreales; Clavicipitaceae
Rfam family: tRNA
About the family: Transfer RNA (tRNA) molecules are approximately 80 nucleotides in length.
Source: Rfam by way of RNAcentral